RNAcentral lists this transfer RNA (71 nucleotides) under Taeniurops meyeni (blotched fantail ray). RNAcentral describes it as "Taeniura meyeni (blotched fantail ray) tRNA-Met". It matches the Rfam family "tRNA". Rfam says of the family: Transfer RNA (tRNA) molecules are approximately 80 nucleotides in length. The record is from RNAcentral. Lineage: Eukaryota; Metazoa; Chordata; Chondrichthyes; Myliobatiformes; Dasyatidae. RNAcentral also lists the same sequence under 4 other names.
AGUAAAGUCAGCUAAUCUUAAGCUCUUGGGCCCAUACCCCAAACAUGUUGGUUAAAAUCCUUCCUCUACUA